AUUGAACGCUGGCGGCAUGCUUUACACAUGCAAGUCGAACGGCAGCACGGGCUUCGGCCUGGCGGCGAGUGGCGAACGGGUGAGUAAUAUAUCGGAACGUACCCAGAAGUGGGGGAUAACGUAGCGAAAGCUACGCUAAUACCGCAUACGAUCUAUGGAUGAAAGCAGGGGACCGUAAGGCCUUGUGCUCCUGGAGCGGCCGAUAUCUGAUUAGCUAGUUGGUGGGGUAAAGGCUCACCAAGGCGACGAUCAGUAGCUGGUCUGAGAGGACGACCAGCCACACUGGAACUGAGACACGGUCCAGACUCCUACGGGAGGCAGCAGUGGGGAAUUUUGGACAAUGGGCGCAAGCCUGAUCCAGCAAUGCCGCGUGAGUGAAGAAGGCCUUCGGGUUGUAAAGCUCUUUUGUCAGGGAAGAAACGGUAGAGGCUAAUAUCCUGGGCUAAUGACGGUACCUGAAGAAUAAGCACCGGCUAACUACGUG
Molecule: ribosomal RNA, 484 nt
Filed under: uncultured bacterium
Lineage: Bacteria
Description: partial 16S ribosomal RNA
Rfam family: Bacterial small subunit ribosomal RNA
Source: RNAcentral